This 479-nucleotide ribosomal RNA is filed under the name uncultured bacterium. RNAcentral's name for it is "bacterial SSU rRNA". It matches the Rfam family "Bacterial small subunit ribosomal RNA", at positions 364 to 833 of the family's 1533-position model. The record is from RNAcentral.
UUUCGCAAUGCCCGAAAGGGUGACGAAGCGACGCCGCGUGGGUGAGGAAGGCCUUCGGGUUGUAAAGCCCUGUCAGGAGUUAAGAAAUGUAGGUUCGCUAAUAUCGUAUCUAUUUGACAAAGGCUCCAAAGGAAGCCACGGCUAACUCUGUGCCAGCAGCCGCGGUAAUACAGAGGUGGCAAGCGUUGUUCGGAAUUAUUGGGCGUAAAGAGCACGUAGGUGGAUUUGUAAGUCAGAUGUGAAAGCCUUCUGUUCAACGGGAGAAUUGCAUCUGAAACUACAGACCUUGAGUAUAGGAGGGGAGAAUGGAACUUCUGGUGGAGCGGUGAAAUGCGUAGAUAUCAGAAGGAACGCCGGCGGCGAAAGCGAUUCUCUGGCCUAUUACUGACACUCAGUGUGCGAAAGUUAGGGGAGCAAACGGGAUUAGAUACCCCGGUAGUCCUAGCCGUAAACGAUGGGCACUAAGUAGAGGGGUUUUA